Molecule: long non-coding RNA, 750 nt
Organism: Bufo gargarizans (Asiatic toad)
Lineage: Eukaryota; Metazoa; Chordata; Amphibia; Anura; Bufonidae
Exons: 4
Source: RefSeq, a predicted model, not a curated record
UGGCAUUGGGGGGGGCUCUGGGCACUGUGGGAGAGUUGUUUGGAACUGGGAGCCUGAUGUCAUUGUGGGGGGCUGCUGGCACUAUGCAGGGCUGCUGUCUCUCGCGGUGUUUAUGUAACUUGGGGGGAUUAUGGCUUCUGUCGGAUUAAUUUUUUUAAUUAUUUUAUUAUUAGGGUCGUACAAAAAAAGAAAAAAAGAGAUCUGCGGUGGGGAAGCCAAUAUCGAUAUUUUAAAAAAUGUCAUCUAAGAAGACAUCAGACAUCGACUGGCGUAACCCACCCAGAAGGCGCCGCCAUAUCCAGUGGCCCGUAAGUAUAAAAUCAACACUUGGACUUUUUACUGUUUGAUUUGUUGCAUUAAUCAGUAUGUGCUCUUAUUAUAGAUUUCUUCAUCAUCUUCAGAGGAGGGCUCUCCCGAAGUGGGCGGUGCUGCCGGGGCCAGCUCACCAGCAUCCAGGGGAGGUGGACCAAGCCCGGACCGGGGCUGUCAAGAACAAUCUGCACCUAGAGCCGCCAGCGAGGAUCCCCCAGUCGCCUCCAGAGUCCGCGGGAAUGAGCGUGGCGGUCGUAGACGUGGUUCCCUAGGCUCCACCAGGGAGGAUGAGGAGUUCGGGUUUCCGAGCAUCAAUAACCUGCUCCUCAUCCGACUGGUGGAGGCGCGUCCAGCGUUAUGGGACCACGCCGACCGCCACCACGCCGAUUAUCGCCAUACCCAGCGGCUCUGGAGGGACAUCUCUGCAGAACUUUUAGA